GGCGGCGUAGCUCAGCUGGUUAGAGCACACGGUUCAUACCCGUGGUGUCGGGGGUUCGAGUCCCUCCGCCGCUACCA
Molecule: transfer RNA, 77 nt
Filed under: Alicyclobacillaceae bacterium
Lineage: Bacteria; Bacillati; Bacillota; Bacilli; Caryophanales; Alicyclobacillaceae
Description: tRNA-Met
Rfam family: tRNA
About the family: Transfer RNA (tRNA) molecules are approximately 80 nucleotides in length. Their secondary structure includes four short double-helical elements and three loops (D, anti-codon, and T loops).
Source: RNAcentral